GGGUUGCAAGAAGAGGUGACUUUUACCAGAUGAAAUGGAGAAAGCCCUUGGGCAAAGAGAUGCAGGUGCUGGCCUUUGGAAUUGUUCAAAUUUCACUGAAAUGGUUUUGGCUGAGAGGAUAAGGGUCAAUUGAGUUUCUGAGCAUUUUGAAAACUGAGACUACUUUUUAAUUACUUUCAAAUUAAGGAACAUUCAAUACUACAGCACCUUUUGUGAAGUAAAUUAAAACCAUUUUCUGAGAUACAUAGUCUGGAUUUCCUCCUACUCCUGUUGCUAGGAGGAAGAAAAAGAGAACAAGAAAGAUAGUAAAUAAUUCAACCUUAAAUUCUAUGUAAUAUACCACCCUUCUGCCUUAUCUUAGGCUAAAUUAGCAUAUUUCAAAUAUUCUAAACAAUGAAAUGAAAAAAUAAGGGACGGGAUUUCAGAGAACUCCAACUUAAUGAUGCAGCAGUCAACCAGCUGUUACCAACAGUUUCUUUCCAGAAUGAAGUACUGAUUUGACAGUGAUUGGUUACCCCACAGAGACUGUCUUGGUAUCAAGAAAUCCAAAUAAGCUGAUCACAGUGAAAUCUGAUCUCUCAGGGACCACUUCUGUCUGCAAAUGAAGGGGAGCCAUUUGACCAGCUAUUAGGAUCUGGGGCUUUGGACUCUGACAGCACUGGGUUCAAAUCCCUAUUACCAAUGAGUAAUUGUCUGAAAGCAGACUUCUUAACCUUCUUCACCUGUGUGUUUUGCUGUCUAAGAAUGGUGCCCUUUUCACUGAGCUCAGUGGAUCCCUCACAUUCUUCUCAUCAGAGAGUUCUGGGCAAAAACUUGGAGGCCCAACUUUAAAGUUGAAUAAUAACUGCAACAGUGAGGUAUCCCUUAUUUGUGACCUGUGGAACUUUUACUCGACCCCGCCUUCUGUUCCUAUGAUAACAACCACAACCAUGGCAACAAUAACACUGAUAUGGACAGGAGACAGGGAGACAUUGGGUAGGAGAGGGCAGUUCCUUGGCAAAGGCCCCACUCUCAAGCGUGGAAAUCCACAGCCUGGAAACCCACAGCCCUCAGUGAGAAAAAGUGUUUCUGUUUUUGUACCCAAAAAGUUGCCUUUUGGUACACUACACUUCCCUAUCCUGUACCCAUAUAAACCCUGAACCCUGGGCUCCAAAAGGAGAUGAGCAAGCAGAACAACGGCAGAAUGGCAGAGCAGAAAAGAAGAGAAGAAGCAUCUGAAUGUCAAGAGGAGCACAGCUGGGGACAAUCAGAGAGAUCAGCUGCUGGACCGCCAAACCCUAGGGGAAGAUCAUUUUCCCACUCUGUCCCCCUUCCAGCUCCCCAUUCAUCCUGCUGAGAGCUACCUCCACCACUCAAUAAAACCCUGCAUUCAUUCUUCAAGUCCCUGUGUGACCUGGUUCUUCCUGGUUGCUGGACAAGGAACUGGGUCCCAAGGGGGUCCACUGAGCCGUCUAACACUUAAACCACCUGCAGGUGGCAAGGCUAAAAGAACACAUUCUAACAUGUGCCCACUUGGGCUUUGGGAGUUGAAGACACCCAACCCAACCCCAUGGCUACCAUGGGGCCAGAGCCCCCAAAACACUAGCCCUGGCUCCUGCACCUGUCCAUCUGUGUGCCCCUACUCUCUUAAGGGGUUUGAGCAUGGCAGCUGAACAAAUGAGCUACACCCAUGUCACAUGUCCUGCAAGGGGGGGUCAGGGAACUCUCCUGUUUCAGCACUGUGCACCAGACAUGGUGUAAGUUCUUUGGAUAUACCAACUCAUUCAUUUCUUACUAUAACCCCAGGAAGUCAAUAACUUCAUAUUAUACCACAC
Molecule: long non-coding RNA, 1814 nt
Filed under: Homo sapiens (human)
Lineage: Eukaryota; Metazoa; Chordata; Mammalia; Primates; Hominidae
Description: HSALNT0048035
Source: RNAcentral